Molecule: non-coding RNA, 82 nt
Organism: Collybiopsis luxurians FD-317 M1
Lineage: Eukaryota; Fungi; Basidiomycota; Agaricomycetes; Agaricales; Omphalotaceae
Source: the annotation of a GenBank genome assembly
GGCCUGAUGGUCUAGGAGUAUGAUUCGUUGUUAGGGUGUUAGUCUUUCGACGAGGUCCCGGGUUCAAUUCCCGGUCAGGCCC